Molecule: transfer RNA, 81 nt
Filed under: Cladophialophora chaetospira
Lineage: Eukaryota; Fungi; Ascomycota; Eurotiomycetes; Chaetothyriales; Herpotrichiellaceae
Description: tRNA-Trp
Rfam family: tRNA
About the family: Transfer RNA (tRNA) molecules are approximately 80 nucleotides in length. Their secondary structure includes four short double-helical elements and three loops (D, anti-codon, and T loops).
Source: RNAcentral
GGGGGGCUGGCGCAACGGUAGCGCGUUCGACUCCAGUGUGGAAUCAUCGAAAGGUUAUCUGUUCAAAUCAGGUGUCCCUCA